UGUCGUGAUAUAUUUAUAUACUCCAUUGUGAUUGUUUCUAACUUGGAGUGACCGUGUGGCCUCUGCUUUUGAAUCAGAUCUUUGCAAAAGGCCAGACACCUGGAAGGAGACGCUGGACACCAGAGAGAGUCAUUCAUUCACUCUGCAGACAUCAGCGGAGCACCCUCGGAGGUACUGGGCUCGUGGACCCUGGAGCCCAGCAGAGACCAAGGCUGAUAUGACCUGGCCCUCACAGAGCUGUCCAUCUAUAAGGGAGGUGGGUGAGGACGCAGAUACCUAGAACCGGAGACUUGGAGCUUAGUCAAGGGUGGAGAGGAGCCAGCAGACGGGGGGCUUGGAGGGAAUCAAGCAGGGUGGGGGUGGAGGGAGUGUGGUCAAGGAAGAGGAUCAGUCUGCAAAGGACACAUUUGUAAAACCCAGACCUGCCUAUGCCUGAGGUCUAGAGAAUGGGGUGGGGUGUGGGGUGAGGUCAGGCUGCCUUGGUCGGCAGGGGCUGGGUCCCCAAGGGCUGAAAGAGGCAUUUUAGGGAGCCAGGGCUUAUCAUGAGGACAGAGGGCCUCCAUCUAGAUGGAUGAGCAGCCUGAACUGCCUUUUGGAAGCCCCUCUUGGUCGCGGUGCAGGGUGGGUGGAAGAAGGCAUGCCUAGAGGCAGAUAGCCAGGCAGGACAUGCUUGGCCAGAGAAGCAGUGGUGGAUUUGAGCCUCUUUCCCUCAAUCCUGUCCCCUGACACAGACCUCACAGUGCAGCCUCCCAGGCAACUGAUUUGCCAGAGGCCAGGAACAGUGUCCUUCACAGGACACAUGUACCUGGGGAGUCCCACAUGCUUCCUCUAGUCCCCCAUGCUGUUCAGUCUGGAAGCCUCCAAAUUAAACACCCACCUGACCUUCCUGUGUUUCUGGAGCCCUCUCUUCCCAUCCAGAGUUCUGAUCCCGUAUGGCUGUCCCCCCACCUCCACCCUCACCCCCUGGAGUACCGCCUGGCUUGGUGACUCCGAGGAAACUUGGGCAAGCCUCCUGCCUUCUGUGCCCUGUACCCACUUAGGAGACAUCUGACUCCACGUUCAUGUCACCUGGACUCCCGGGAAUACAUCACAUUCUCUGUGGAACCGUCUUCCUGUACCUCAUGCCAGUGGCCUCUGUGGGACAGGCCUUCGAGUCUCUGCAGUUUGGCAAGUGCCUCCAGCUGAGGGGUAAGGGCUCAGCUCCUUUCUCAAAGCCCCCCUAGUCUCCAGGAUCUGUUCUCUUAGGGACCCCAUUUGGGGGGUUCUCUCCAAAUUGAGUGUUUUUUUCUCCUACAAAUGACCCAUAUUUGUUUCUAUUGCUGUUAUAAUAAAUUACAACGACUUAGUAGCUUAGAACAACAUGCAUUUGUUCUCUCACAGUUUCUGUGGGGUAGGAGCCUGACACGGGUCUCACUGUGCUAACAUCAGGUGUCAGCAGGGCCCCUUCCCUUUCUGGAUCUUGAAGGGAGAGUCCACAUCCUUGGCUCUUCCAGCUUCUAGA
This 1501-nucleotide long non-coding RNA is filed under the name Canis lupus familiaris (dog). RNAcentral's name for it is "lncRNA (ENSCAFG00030001569.1)". Lineage: Eukaryota; Metazoa; Chordata; Mammalia; Carnivora; Canidae. The record is from RNAcentral.